Molecule: RNA transcript, 4146 nt
Organism: Neopsephotus bourkii (Bourke's parrot)
Lineage: Eukaryota; Metazoa; Chordata; Aves; Psittaciformes; Psittacidae
Gene: STX1A
Gene name: syntaxin 1A
Exons: 10
Source: RefSeq, a predicted model, not a curated record
GGUCCCGGUGGCGGCUCCGCUCCGCGCAUGCGCGGCUCCCGCCCCUCCCUGGCGCACGGCCGGGCGCAGCGGCAGCAUGAAGGACCGGACCGGGGAGCUGCGCGCCGCGAAGGACAGUGAUGAUGACGAUGAAGUCACCGUCAGUGUGGACCGGGACCGCUUCAUGGACGAGUUCUUCGAGCAGGUGGAAGAAAUUCGAGGGUUCAUUGAUAAGAUUUCAGAGAACGUGGAGGAAGUGAAGAGGAAGCACAGUGCCAUCCUUGCCUCGCCUAACCCCGAUGAGAAGACAAAGGAGGAGCUGGAAGAGCUGAUGUCUGACAUAAAGAAGACGGCAAACAAAGUACGCUCCAAGCUAAAGAGUAUUGAGCAGAGCAUUGAACAAGAGGAAGGACUGAACAGGUCAUCUGCUGACUUGCGGAUAAGGAAAACUCAGCACUCAACGCUGUCCCGCAAGUUUGUGGAGGUGAUGUCCGAGUACAACGCCACGCAGACUGACUACCGGGAGCGCUGCAAGGGCAGGAUCCAGAGGCAGCUGGAGAUCACUGGGAGGACCACCACCAGUGAGGAGCUGGAGGACAUGCUGGAGAGCGGCAACCCAGCCAUCUUCUCCUCUGGGAUCAUCAUGGAUUCAAACAUUACCAAGCAGGCACUGAAUGAGAUUGAGACACGGCACAGCGAAAUCAUCAAACUGGAGAACAGCAUCCGAGAGCUGCACGACAUGUUCAUGGACAUGGCCAUGCUGGUGGAGAGCCAGGGCUGCUGGGCAGGGCAACGUCCACACGGUGCUGGGGAGCAGAGCAGGAAGGAGCUCACGUCUGCGUGCAUGCGGGCACGUGGGCUCUGUCGCCGUUCUGCAGGGCGAGAUGAUUGACCGCAUCGAGUACAACGUGGAGCACUCAGUGGACUACGUGGAGCGAGCUGUGUCCGACACCAAAAAAGCAGUGAAGUACCAGAGCAAAGCCAGACGGAAGAAGAUCAUGAUCAUUAUCUGCUGCGUGAUCCUGGGCAUCGUCAUCGCCUCCACCUUCGGUGGCAUUUUCGGCUAGCCUCACCCCGCGGGACUGUUUGUGUGCGAUGGACGGAGCUGCGUGUGCCGCGGGGCCGCAGCCGCACCGGAGCAAACCACGCAGCCCCGGAGCCUCCCAGCAGCAUUUCAGUUUCUAAUGCAUGGUUGUUUGUGACGCUGUGUGUGCGGUGCGGUGCGUCUGUAUGGAGGGAGCGCCAGCCCCGGGGCGUAGGCAGGGUGCAGGGGAUGGUGAUGGGCAGGAGGGGGACCCUGGGAGGGAACCCGAGUUCUCAUCACUGCUCCAGCCUGCAUGGCUGGCUGGGGACAGGGGUGCCCUUGGGCACUGCUGCUCCUCCUGUGCUGGGCAGUCUGCAUUAGUGACAACCAAGGAUGCAGGGUGUCAGGGCCCCCCAGGAGCACAGUGCCCAGUCAACCUCCCCCAACUUCCCCAUUACCUCCAGCCAGAGCUCUCAUGUCAGCUGUGUCUGUGCUUACAAACACCUUUCCUUGGGCUGCUUCUCCCACGGGACCCUUCCCCAGGGGUGUGCUCAGACAGGCGCUGCCUGUUCCUGUCCCUGUGCCUGGCUGCAGGGCUCUAUCCCUCCUGCCCCUCCAAGGCAAGCCCUCCUCCCAGUGUGGGUACCAGGGGAUGGAUGUUCUGCUGCUGACAGUGGGUGCCUGAUGGAGCAGUGUAGAACAGGCUGCUGCUCUGGGCUAUCAGUUGCCUGGGGAUGGGGACAGGCCACAUGGGGACAUGCUGCAUGCUGGUGCUGGCCUGGUAGGUACUUCAAGGGCAGCACACUUUGCUGGCUGCUCUGCCUGCACCAAAGCUUCAUUAUUCUGUCAGCCCUGGCACACAGUGGCCCUGGCUCCUUCUGCCCAAGGGCUGGGAUUUGGGGCUGGCUCUGAUGCCCACAGUCCCUGGCAGCACUUGCCUGGGAUCAGGGCUUCAUCCAGCCUCACUUCUCCACAUAGGCACCUAUGGCUGGGGCUGAAGGCAGCCAAGCUUUCUCCUGUUGUGGUCCCUGGAGCAGCCCUUGUUGCAUCCACACCCCUGCUAGCUAAGGAGCAGACUUCCUCCCCCUUGGUCCUACCAGUUCCUGAGCAGGGCAGUGCCUGACUCCCCCUUCCAUCUCCCUGCCACCUCUUGGCACCUGCCUGCUCCUUCCAGUCUUGGCACACCACCCUUGUGCCUGUUCAUCCCCCAGGCCAUCCAGAGAGGACCCACACAUGGCAGGAUGUUGUGGAGGCACCUGGGUACCCUCUGCUGCACCCACUGUGUGGACACAGCCUCUGUGGUGGCCUGAGCCUACUGGCAGCUCCGAAGAACCCUGUGAUGCCACUGUCUGUUUUCUUCAGGCUGGGAGCAGGGCUCUGCCCUUACAUUCCUCUGUAGAUUCCAGGGCUGCAGCUGGCCCAUGCACAUGCCAAAGCACCACUGAGGAACCCAGAGCAGGGCAGGCACUUGGAGCCACACACUGGGACAGGGUCUGGAUGUAAGCCCAGAUGCUGUAGCAGAAAAAGGGCAGCUGAUGUCAGUGAGCACUCCAGCUGCAGCUGUGUUUCACCUCUCUGUUCCGACCAGGGUCCCUGUGCUCCUCCACCCUGGCUGGGUGCUGUAGCACAGGAGCUGGCCCUAUGCAUGGUGCCCAUGGCUGGGGGGCAAGGAAGUGGGCUGUAGCCAAGACACAACACUACCUUCCUGAGACACAGCCCUGCCCAGCAGCAACCCAGACAUGGCUCAUUCCCUGCCACUGUUACCCCAGGUCCCACUGUACAACCCCUGGUUGCAUUCAGCUGCCCUUGGGAAGCAUGUCCAGCCCAGUCCCCUGCCCAGCACAGGGGUGCGACCAUGGGAACAGCCACCUCUGGAGCCCCCUUCUUUCGCAUCCCCACAACAAGAGAUGUGAGCUACAGCGCUGCAGCCUGUGUGCACAAAAGGGCUUGGGGCAUGGGGAGCCCCGCAAGAGGGAGCAGGCCAGCUCUGGAGCCCCUCCAGGGCAGGAGGCAGGCAUGGGCAGGGUCCUUGACCUAAGGGGAGGGAGCUGGAAGUGAUGUACAAGUACCUACUGCUCCUGCCCCAGUACAGUUCCCUGUCAUCAUACUCUGCUAUGUUGAGCCACAAGAACGCUGGGCCCCCUCCUCUGGGAAGCAAUAACACUGCUGACAGGGCUGCUCCUGGGUGGGCAGGCAGAACAGCUCCUCUCAGGCUCUCGCCCUGCAGCGAUGCCCACUGCUAGCGCAAGGUGAUCUUUUUAUCUUCCAAGCAGCGGCUUUUGUGGCACAACACAUGACAUCAGGGCUUUGGCCCACCCCCAUCAAGGCACAAGGCUAAGAACAGCACGAGGGGGCUCUGGCACUUGCUUCUUCAUUGUUGGUACCACCACCACCACCACCAGCAGCCCGCCAGCAGCAGGAGCUGGACGGGGCCACAGUCGGCAGCUCCGCCGCUGGCACUUUGCUGGGAUCCUGCAGGCAGUGGUGGUGCCAGGCUCCAGAACAUGGGAGGCAGAGGAGCAGGCUGCCACUGCUGCCCCACAGGCAGGUUCACACUGUCCUCGCUGUGAGGGGAGGGUGUUUUGGUGCAAUAAUUACCCCUGCACUAUGGGAAGCCCCGCCCAGUUCCUUUUUACCUACCUGUUGUUGCAUGUACAGACCAAAUCACCAACAGUGUGGUUGUGCUUUGGGGAGACAUUUCACUUUUUCUUUCCAGCCCCUGACCUCAGACCGCUUGUCCUUUGGGUUACCCCACCUCUGUUCCAAGUGCCACCUGCCCUCCCAGCACCGGGAGCGUGUCGAUGCAGUAUUCCACAAACAGUGUGGGGCACGCACAGCUUGCACUCGAACUGGGGAUUAUUUUGGGGUUUUUUUAGUAAUUAUAUGUACUUGAAAGCUUUCCAAGUCCCCUCUCCCCGUGGAGUUGUACUGUUGCUGUACUGUGAGCUAAGUGUCCUUGUUUUCUAUGUGGAUCUUGACCCUGGCUUGCUCUGUCUCACUGGGCUGGAUGACACUGUAUGUUGCCUCUCUUCUCCUUCACCCUUUCCCUUCCUGCUAGCCUCCCCUUCUCCCAAAGCUUUGGGUGCAAAACAGCUUCCCAUUUUGUGGAAUUUUUAUGUAGAAUAAACAUUUGUAACUGUAAA